UGCGGCCUACGGGGGGCCGCAGUAGGGAAUUUUCGUCAAUGGGCGCAAGCCUGAACGAGCAAUGCCGCGUGAACGAGGAAGGUCUUCGGAUCGUAAAGUUCUGUUGAAGGGGAAAAAGAGCGGAGAGAGGAAAUGGUCUCCGAUUGAUAUUACCCUUCGAGGAAGUCACGGCUAACUACGUGCCAGCAGCCGCGGUAAUACGUAGGUGGCGAGCGUUAUCCGGAAUGAUUGGGCGUAAAGGGUGCGUAGGCGCCCUGCUAAGUCUGUCGUGAA
Molecule: ribosomal RNA, 273 nt
Filed under: uncultured bacterium
Lineage: Bacteria
Description: partial 16S ribosomal RNA
Rfam family: Bacterial small subunit ribosomal RNA
Source: RNAcentral